AUACGGAGGGGGCUAGCGUUGUUCGGAAUUACUGGGCGUAAAGCGCGCGUAGGCGGACCAGUCAGUCAGGGGUGAAAUCCCGGGGCUCAACCCCGGAACUGCCUUUGAUACUGCUGGUCUUGAGUUCGAGAGAGGUGAGUGGAAUUCCGAGUGUAGAGGUGAAAUUCGUAGAUAUUCGGAGGAACACCAGUGGCGAAGGCGGCUCACUGGCUCGAUACUGACGCUGAGGUGCGAAAGCGUGGGGAGCAAACGGGAUUAGAAACCCCAGUAGUCC
RNAcentral lists this ribosomal RNA (274 nucleotides) under uncultured bacterium. RNAcentral describes it as "partial 16S ribosomal RNA". It matches the Rfam family "Bacterial small subunit ribosomal RNA", at positions 523 to 796 of the family's 1533-position model. The record is from RNAcentral.